Long non-coding RNA from Tympanuchus pallidicinctus (lesser prairie-chicken), 514 nucleotides. RefSeq lists it as uncharacterized. The record is from RefSeq and is a predicted model, not a curated record. The transcript is spliced from 3 exons. Lineage: Eukaryota; Metazoa; Chordata; Aves; Galliformes; Phasianidae.
AGAUUUGAUAAGCAGAAACUGCAGCAGCUGUUUCAUUCCCAAUGUAUACUUGCAUUUUGGAUUGAACUUGUCCAUUUAACCAACUGAUUGGAAAGGGAGGACCUUUUUGCCUCUUUAGAAGAAUGAAACUCAGCAACGUGAAGUCCAUGUACCAGAAGCAGAAACAGAAGCUGAAGCAGAAGGGAUCCCCGCUUUGCAGACUGAAUAUUCAGGAUCUUUUGAGCAACUCAAAGAAGAUAUGGUGGCAGAGUAGAGGAAAGCUCAAAUUAUUCGUGGCUGACACAGGGAUAUUAUCCUCUGCAUAGUUGUUGUGUGUUGAAGAGAUGGAAGGUGAACAAAGUACAAAUGGUAUGCAUGAGUAUGAGAGAAAGCAUAUGUGGUGUAUGUUUUUCUAAAUCUUAAAAGAAUGACUUUAUGCCUAUGUUAACCAUACAAUUAUUUAAAAUACUGCAGGCUGAAAAAUUUGUUUAUCUGGAAAAUGAGCACAAAGUAAUUAAAACUUGCCAACAAUUUA